RNAcentral lists this long non-coding RNA (1098 nucleotides) under Hordeum vulgare. RNAcentral's name for it is "long non-coding RNA (HVUL_LNC018074)". The record is from RNAcentral. Lineage: Eukaryota; Viridiplantae; Streptophyta; Magnoliopsida; Poales; Poaceae.
CGGUUCAACCCACUGAGCUUGCUUGUAGGCCAGACCGUCACUAGACCCACGCAUGGACUUGUGGUGGAGGACGCCUGAGAAACACAUGGGGCACGCACGACGUUAACACUUGGAGUCGCGCACACACAAAGGAUCAGCUAAGAGCGUAGCCGGCCGGCCGGAGGAUCGUCGAAAGGACGACCCGUCGCUGUAGGAACGAUCCAUCUCUCCGGCCGGCGUGGCACAUGAGGUGAAACGUAUCACGCCGCACUCCGGGUCUAGCCAUGGCUAAAGGUUGUAGCGAUCGGGGGGGCUACGUGGGCUUGGAAUUCCGGGAGCUUUUCACUCGCCAUCGAUAUGUCAGCGAUCGUUAGUUGCUGUUGCUGGUGAGGUCUCAAGGUAAUUAAGUUCACAUGCAUGGUAUGUCUCUGUUGUUCCCUUGUAAGUUGUUCUCUUGUAAGUUGGUUUGCUAAGCAUCGAUCUCAUCCUACUCCCUAUAUAUGUGACUUGAUAUAAAGACAUUUUUUGACAUUGUUAUGUACUCUAAAAUCUCUUAUAAAAAGUGACAGGGGGAGUAUCAUCUAGGGAUUUGCUAGAUGUAGGUCGCCUGAAAAACAAAUUUGGAUCAGUCUUCACACUGUGAGCCGUCGACUGCAAGAUGGACGGCCAGAUCAGCUUCUUCAACCUCCCGAAAUGGUUACUGCUCAUCUUCUCCAACCUCGAACCCUCGAUUAUUUAUGUUUUCAGGCAACUUAUAUGUAAUUUAGCUAUUGUGAUCAUCUAGUAUUUAAUUCUGGCCGUUUGUUUCUGGUGUAUCAUAUGCACCAUGCACCAGGUGUCAGCAUACAGAAUCCCUUCCCUUUGGAGGAAACUUCAUUAUGAGGCGAUGGAAAGUCCAAAUGAUGGAUCGAUCAUUAGCGCACUAUAGCGACAAGACUACUGAGGCUAGUCGUGCCGGGUCAUAUCUUAUUAGAGUUGUGCAAUGCAUGUUUACCCAGGAGAGAUCACUUUUAAUAUAAUAAUUUUGUCGGGUGUUUAUAGUGGAGGUGGAACCCUUUUGUUGAUCAUCCGUAUAGAAUCUGGGGCGGUAUUUUAUGUGGAGGACGUGGAAAAUCUUAA